This 268-nucleotide long non-coding RNA is filed under the name Theobroma cacao (cacao). RNAcentral describes it as "long non-coding RNA (TCAC_LNC000826)". Lineage: Eukaryota; Viridiplantae; Streptophyta; Magnoliopsida; Malvales; Malvaceae. The record is from RNAcentral.
GAAAAUCAUAAUUAUCUUUACAGAAAUUCUGCAAAUAGAGAAUUAUUGGGGUUGGAUAAUGAAAAGAAAUCAUGGGAUUUGAUUCCGACAAAGAAAAAAGAAAUAAAAUUAUGCCGACAAAUGUGGGACGAGACAAUGCGGAAAUAAAAAGGAAAAAGAGAAGAAGGUGUGCAUGAGAUGUUGGACAUAUGAACUCACUCCAUCUUCUUUUGUUUGCACUGUACAUAUAAUUUUUGUGGACAACAAUAUUUUCAGGUGUGGUUUAUUC